GUGGGGAAUAUUGGGCAAUGGGCGAAAGCCUGACCCAGCAACGCCGCGUGAAGGAAGAAGGUCUUCGGAUCGUAAACUUCUAUCCUUGGUGAAGAUAAUGACGGUAGCCGAGAAGGAAGCCCCGGCUAACUACGUGCCAGCAGCCGCGGUAAUACGUAGGGGGCAAGCGUUGUCCGGAAUGAUUGGGCGUAUAGGGCGCGUAGGCGGCCUGGUAAGUCUGGAGUGAAAGUCCUGCUUUUAAGGUGGGAAUUGCUUUGGAUACUGUCGGGCUUGAGUGCAGGAGAGGUAAGUGGAAUUCCCGGUGUAGCGGUGAAAUGCGUAGAGAUCGGGAGGAACACCAGUGGCGAAGGCGACUUACUGGACUGUAACUGACGCUGAGGCGCGAAAGUGUGGGGAGCAAACAGGAUUAGAAACCCCAGUAGUCC
RNAcentral lists this ribosomal RNA (425 nucleotides) under uncultured bacterium. RNAcentral's name for it is "partial 16S ribosomal RNA". It matches the Rfam family "Bacterial small subunit ribosomal RNA", at positions 354 to 796 of the family's 1533-position model. The record is from RNAcentral.